GGUUAAGCGACUAAGCGUACACGGUGGAUGCCUAGGCAGUCAGAGGCGAUGAAGGGCGUGCUAAUCUGCGAAAAGCGUCGGUAAGCUGAUAUGAAGCGUUAUAACCGACGAUACCCGAAUGGGGAAACCCAGUGCAAUACGUUGCACUAUCGUUAGAUGAAUACAUAGUCUAACGAGGCGAACCGGGGGAACUGAAACAUCUAAGUACCCCGAGGAAAAGAAAUCAACCGAGAUUCCCCCAGUAGCGGCGAGCGAACGGGGAGGAGCCCAGAGUCUGAAUCAGUUUGUGUGUUAGUGGAAGCGUCUGGAAAGUCGCACGGUACAGGGUGAUAGUCCCGUACACCAAAAUGCACAGGCUGUGAACUCGAUGAGUAGGGCGGGACACGUGACAUCCUGUCUGAAUAUGGGGGGACCAUCCUCCAAGGCUAAAUACUCCUGACUGACCGAUAGUGAACCAGUACCGUGAGGGAAAGGCGAAAAGAACCCCGGCGAGGGGAGUGAAAUAGAACCUGAAACCGUGUACGUACAAGCAGUGGGAGCACCUUCGUGGUGUGACUGCGUACCUUUUGUAUAAUGGGUCAGCGACUUAUAUUUUGUAGCAAGGUUAACCGAAUAGGGGAGCCGUAGGGAAACCGAGUCUUAACUGGGCGUCUAGUUGCAAGGUAUAGACCCGAAACCCGGUGAUCUAGCCAUGGGCAGGUUGAAGGUUGGGUAACACUAACUGGAGGACCGAACCGACUAAUGUUGAAAAAUUAGCGGAUGACUUGUGGCUGGGGGUGAAAGGCCAAUCAAACCGGGAGAUAGCUGGUUCUCCCCGAAAGCUAUUUAGGUAGCGCCUCGUGAACUCAUCUUCGGGGGUAGAGCACUGUUUCGGCUAGGGGGCCAUCCCGGCUUACCAAACCGAUGCAAACUCCGAAUACCGAAGAAUGUUAUCACGGGAGACACACGGCGGGUGCUAACGUCCGUCGUGAAGAGGGAAACAACCCAGACCGCCAGCUAAGGUCCCAAAGUCAUGGUUAAGUGGGAAACGAUGUGGGAAGGCACAGACAGCCAGGAUGUUGGCUUAGAAGCAGCCAUCAUUUAAAGAAAGCGUAAUAGCUCACUGGUCGAGUCGGCCUGCGCGGAAGAUGUAACGGGGCUAAACCAUGCACCGAAGCUGCGGCAGCGACACUUAGGCGUUGUUGGGUAGGGGAGCGUUCUGUAAGCCGUUGAAGGUGACCUGUGAGGGUUGCUGGAGGUAUCAGAAGUGCGAAUGCUGACAUAAGUAACGAUAAUGCGGGUGAAAAACCCGCACGCCGGAAGACCAAGGGUUCCUGUCCAACGUUAAUCGGGGCAGGGUGAGUCGACCCCUAAGGCGAGGCUGAAAAGCGUAGUCGAUGGGAAACAGGUUAAUAUUCCUGUACUUGGUGUUACUGCGAAGGGGGGACGGAGAAGGCUAGGCUGGCCGGGCGACGGUUGUCCCGGUUUAAGCGUGUAGGGGGAGUGACCAGGUAAAUCCGGUUGCUUAUCAACCCUGAGGCGUGAUGACGAUGCACCACGGUGCAGAAGCAGUUGAUGCCAUGCUUCCAGGAAAAGCCUCUAAGCAUCAGGUAACAUUAAAUCGUACCCCAAACCGACACAGGUGGUCAGGUAGAGAAUACUCAGGCGCUUGAGAGAACUCGGGUGAAGGAACUAGGCAAAAUGGUGCCGUAACUUCGGGAGAAGGCACGCUGGCGUUAGGUGAAAGGACUAGCUCCUGGAGCUGAAGCCAGUCGCAGAUACCAGCUGGCUGCAACUGUUUAAUAAAAACACAGCACUGUGCAAACACGAAAGUGGACGUAUACAGUGUGACGCCUGCCCGGUGCUGGAAGGUUAAUUGAUGGGGUCAGCCGCAAGGCGAAGCUCUUGAUCGAAGCCCCAGUAAACGGCGGCCGUAACUAUAACGGUCCUAAGGUAGCGAAAUUCCUUGUCGGGUAAGUUCCGACCUGCACGAAUGGCGUAAUGAUGGCCAGGCUGUCUCCACCCGAGACUCAGUGAAAUUGAACUCGCUGUGAAGAUGCAGUGUACCCGCGGCAAGACGGAAAGACCCCGUGAACCUUUACUAUAGCUUGACACUGAACAUUGAGCCUUGAUGUGUAGGAUAGGUGGGAGGCCUUGAAGUGUGGACGCCAGUCUGCAUGGAGCCAACCUUGAAAUACCACCCUUUAAUGUUUGAUGUUCUAACUCGGCCCCAUGAUCUGGGGUGAGGACAGUGUCUGGUGGGUAGUUUGACUGGGGCGGUCUCCUCCCAAAGAGUAACGGAGGAGCACGAAGGUUAGCUAAUCACGGUCGGACAUCGUGAGGUUAGUGCAAAGGCAUAAGCUAGCUUGACUGCGAGAGUGACGGCUCGAGCAGGUACGAAAGUAGGUCUUAGUGAUCCGGUGGUUCUGAAUGGAAGGGCCAUCGCUCAACGGAUAAAAGGUACUCCGGGGAUAACAGGCUGAUACCGCCCAAGAGUUCAUAUCGACGGCGGUGUUUGGCACCUCGAUGUCGGCUCAUCACAUCCUGGGGCUGAAGUAGGUCCCAAGGGUAUGGCUGUUCGCCAUUUAAAGUGGUACGCGAGCUGGGUUUAGAACGUCGUGAGACAGUUCGGUCCCUAUCUGCCGUGGGCGUUGGAAGAUUGAGAGGGGCUGCUCCUAGUACGAGAGGACCGGAGUGGACGAAUCACUGGUGUUCGGGUUGUCAUGCCAAUGGCAUUGCCCGGUAGCUAAAUUCGGAAGAGAUAACCGCUGAAAGCAUCUAAGCGGGAAACUUGCCUCGAGAUGAGUCUUCCCUGGGGCUUAAAGCCCCCUGAAGGAACGUUAAAGACUAUGACGUUGAUAGGCUGGGUGUGUAAGUGCAGCGAUGUAUUGAGCUAACCAGUACUAAUGAUCCGUGAGGCUUAACCUU
Molecule: ribosomal RNA, 2907 nt
Filed under: Yersinia pestis Z176003
Lineage: Bacteria; Pseudomonadati; Pseudomonadota; Gammaproteobacteria; Enterobacterales; Yersiniaceae
Also listed under: 1 other name
Description: bacterial LSU rRNA
Rfam family: Bacterial large subunit ribosomal RNA
Source: RNAcentral